GGAGUUGUGACUCAGUGGUAAGAGUGCUUGCCUUGCAAGCACAAGACCCUGGGUUCGAUUCUCAGCACCA
RNAcentral lists this transfer RNA (70 nucleotides) under Ictidomys tridecemlineatus (thirteen-lined ground squirrel). RNAcentral describes it as "Spermophilus tridecemlineatus (thirteen-lined ground squirrel) tRNA". It matches the Rfam family "tRNA". From Rfam's summary of the family: Transfer RNA (tRNA) molecules are approximately 80 nucleotides in length. Their secondary structure includes four short double-helical elements and three loops (D, anti-codon, and T loops). Lineage: Eukaryota; Metazoa; Chordata; Mammalia; Rodentia; Sciuridae. The record is from Rfam by way of RNAcentral.